UAGGGAAUCUUCCGCAAUGGGCGAAAGCUUGACGGAGCAACGCCGCGUGAGUGAUGAAGGUCUUCGGAUCGUAAAACUCUGUUAUUAGGGAAGAACAAAUGUGUAAGUAACUAUGCACGUCUUGACGGUACCUAAUCAGAAAGCCACGGCUAACUACGUGCCAGCAGCCGCGGUAAUACGUAGGUGGCAAGCGUUAUCCGGAAUUAUUGGGCGUAAAGCGCGCGUAGGCGGUUUUUUAAGUCUGAUGUGAAAGCCCACGGCUCAAACGUGGGGGGUCAUUGGAAACUGGAAAACUUGAGUGCAGGAGAGGAAAGUGGAAUUCCAGGUGUAGCGGUGAAAUGCGCAGGGAUAUGGAGGAAAACCAGUGGCGAAGGCGACUUUCUGGUCUGUAACUGACGCUGAUGUGCGAAAGCGUGGGGAUCAAACAGG
RNAcentral lists this ribosomal RNA (429 nucleotides) under Actinomycetes bacterium. RNAcentral describes it as "Actinobacteria bacterium partial 16S ribosomal RNA". It matches the Rfam family "Bacterial small subunit ribosomal RNA", at positions 355 to 776 of the family's 1533-position model. Lineage: Bacteria; Bacillati; Actinomycetota; Actinomycetes. The record is from RNAcentral.